CAAGAUCCGCUUACCCUCCCCUCUCUCUCUCUGUGUCCGGUUCUCUCGGUCUCCCUCUCGACAUACCGAGAAAAAAGAGGGACACGGCGGUGGCUCAUCAGCGCCGACGGCACGGCCUCGAUUCAGAGGAAGAAGCUGGGAAGAGAGUCGAGGAGGAAAGAGUGGUCGGAGCCAGAAGAGAGUGGGAGUGUGGUCCGAAGCCUCUCUAGGACGGCCUCUCUCAGCUCCAAGUUCCUCUCAAUUCAUGAAACUUGGAACUCACAGAGAACGGAAAUCCUUCCCGAGUUUCGCCAAUGCUAGGAAUUUCGUACGGGGAGCUCUUCCUCAUUCUCGGAGCCACUGCCGCUCUCAUCGGACCAAAAGAUCUUCCACUCAUAGCCCGGACCGCCGGCAGAUUGGCCGGCCGAGCCAUCGGAUAUGUCCAGUUAGCCCGAGGCCAGUUCGACUCGGUUAUGCAGCAGACCCAAGCUCGUCAGGUGCACAAAGAGCUGCAAGACACAAUGGCCCAGUUGGAAGCCAUACGCCAUGAAAUCCGAAGCAUAUCCUUCAUAAAUCCAGGUCCAAUGACCCGGAGGCUGAUCGAUGAUCCCAAUAACACAUCUGUCGGCAGUGGCAACAAUGUUCAACAGAUGCCCAUUCCUGAAAAUAAAGAAACAAGCAACUUUCAAAAGGAUGGGAAGACAUCGCCAUCAGACCUCAGUAACUUACAUAGCCAAGCAACUGCUUAUGAUAGGUUGGCAGACUCAGCUGCUGUGAGAGCUGCUUCUGGAAAAAUUGAUACAGAUGGAGGCACAAUCGAGAAUGAAGCUGGCUUUCCUACUGUUUUGCCCAUUUCUGCUGAAACUGCUGGUUUCUUAUCCCCUCGAACAGAUGAUGUCAAAGGAUCUGACAUUGUACUAGAAGCAAUAGUGGAGUCGGAGGUGGCACACAAUGCUAAAGAGUUCUUUGCACGACCUGAGAAUCAAAUAAAGUAUGAAUAAAAGCAGGUGUUAAUCUUGAGGACACAUGAUUGCGAAUGGAAAAGAUGAAGUUGAUCUGGGAAACCUCACUAAUGGAAACUAUAAUCAUAGUCCUUCAUUACCGUACUGGUGAAGGAGAUGCAAGGUUGACAAUUCGGAUUCCCCUCUUAUCUGCCCCUGCAUCAACAAUUUUCCUAUAUUUUAGGUGAGUGCUGCGAUAUAGCACGCCCUAGGGAAGAUCUGUUUUGGUCGAAUGAAAUUUUGGGAGAAGGAACACGUAAUGAAAUGAUGUCAAUUUCCAAUUUUCUAUUCCUCUUUUCUGAGUUCAGGCUGCUUCCUCUGUAUAGCUUCAGCUACAAUGUCCCUCCGUCUAUGUUUUGCUUCUGGGUCUGAGUUUAAGGUAAUGCUGAUGAAGGUUCCGACGAUUGGGAUGUGAAUUUUUUUUAAAAUUAUGAUAAAUAAAUUUCACAUAGGAAAUUGUUGUGA
Non-coding RNA from Punica granatum (pomegranate), 1445 nucleotides. Lineage: Eukaryota; Viridiplantae; Streptophyta; Magnoliopsida; Myrtales; Lythraceae. The record is from RefSeq and is a predicted model, not a curated record.